AGGCAGAAGUAAAGUGUGCGUACAUUAUACUAGGAUGUUGUUCUUGUUGUUGUAAUUUUGGUCUAGAACUCCCAUAUAUGUAUCAUGUAUUUAGAUUGUUUGGCAUGAAACAGUUAAGCUGAGGGUUUAUCGAAAACAACCCCUCGACCUCACUACUUUUACGAGGUAGAGGUGAAGUCUGUGUACAUUAUACUAGGAUGUUGUUGUUGUUGUAAUUUUGGUCUAAAAUUCCCAUUUAUGUAUCAUGUUUUCGGAUUGUUUCACGUGUACUAGUUAAGUUGAGGGUCUAUCGAAAACAGACCCUCUACCUCUCUACUUUUACGAGGUAGAGGUGAAGUCUGCAUACAUUAUACUAUGAUGUUGUUGUGGUAAUUUUGGCCUAAAACUUAUCUUAAAAAUUUUCUUGAAUUUUCUUGAAAUAUGAUUGUGUAUAUAUAUAUGUUUUGAACCCCUCGACCUCACUACUUUUACGAGGUAGAGGUGAAGUCUGUGUACAUUAUACUAGGAUGUUGUUGUUGUUGUAAUUUUGGUCUAAAAUUCCCAUAUAUGUAUCAUGUUUUCGGAUUGUUUCACGUGUACCAGUUAAGUUGAGGGUUUAUCGAAAACAGACCCUCUACCUCUCUACUUUUACGAGGUAGAGGUGAAGUCUGCGUACAUUAUACUAUGAUGUUGUUGUGGUAAUUUUGGCCUAAAACUUAUCUUAAAAAUUUUCUUGAAUUUUCUUGAAAUAUGAUUGUGUAUAUAUAUAUGUUUUAAUUAUUUUUCAG
RNAcentral lists this long non-coding RNA (767 nucleotides) under Capsicum annuum. Its description in RNAcentral is "long non-coding RNA (CANN_LNC022145)". The record is from RNAcentral. Lineage: Eukaryota; Viridiplantae; Streptophyta; Magnoliopsida; Solanales; Solanaceae.